AGGACGAACGCUGGCGGCACGCUUAACACAUGCAAGUCGAACGAGAUCCAAGGAGCUUGCUCCUGAAGAUCUAGUGGCGAACGGGUGCGUAACACGUGAGAAACCUGUCCCGAACUUGGGAAUAACAGUCGGAAACGACUGCUAAUACCGAAUAUCUUCGUAACGUCGCAUGGCGUAUCGAAGAAAGCCUUGUGCGGUUUGGGAGGGUCUCGCGGCCUAUCAGCUUGUUGGUGAGGUAACGGCUCACCAAGGCAUCGACGGGUAGCUGGUCUGAGAGGAUGAUCAGCCACACUGGGACUGAGACACGGCCCAGACUCCGUACGGGAGGCAGCAGUGGGAAUAUUGCACAAUGGGCGAAAGCCUGAUGCAGCGAUGCCGCGGUGGGAAGAAGGCCCGUAGGUUCGUAAACCGCUUUACGAGCGAGGAAGAAAUGACGUACUGCGAGAAGAGGU
RNAcentral lists this ribosomal RNA (452 nucleotides) under uncultured soil bacterium. Its description in RNAcentral is "bacterial SSU rRNA". It matches the Rfam family "Bacterial small subunit ribosomal RNA", at positions 26 to 491 of the family's 1533-position model. The record is from RNAcentral.